AUGGCGGAGGAACCGUCCACCAAGCAUCAUCAUGGCGAGACGACUGACAAGAGCUGCAACCUCGAUGACGUUCACGUCCCUGGCGAGAAUCACGCAUACACCAGAACACUUGAAGGGGUUGAGCUCCACGGUAAUGAGACGCUGGAGAUCAUCCGCACAAGCAAACCAGACAAGGCCGACGAGAUGACCACCAUGCUCUGGAGGAAGGCUGGCGGCUCUCAUCGUAAGAUCGUCGGUCUUGGUUUGUGCGUGGAGGAACUCUUCCUGGUGUACCAAAUCACAGUGGCCAUGAAAUGUCCCAAGCGCCUCAAUGAGAUGCUGAAGCAUGAGAAGUUGUUCACAUUUGCCGGUUUCAGCAUUGAAGGCGACAAAGAGAAGAUGAAGAUGUCUGGCCUUCCAACGAUCAACCCCAACAAGUAUGUCGACAUUUAG
This 432-nucleotide ribosomal RNA is filed under the name Triticum aestivum (bread wheat). RNAcentral describes it as "partial small subunit ribosomal RNA". The record is from RNAcentral. Lineage: Eukaryota; Viridiplantae; Streptophyta; Magnoliopsida; Poales; Poaceae.